CAGCAGCCGCGGUAACACGUAGGUGGCGAGCGUUGUCCGGAAUCAUUGGGCGUAAAGGGAGCGCAGGCGGGCAUAUAAGUCUUUCUUAAAAGUUCGGGGCUCAACCCCGUGAUGGGAAAGAAACUAUAUGUCUUGAGUACAGGAGAGGAAAGCGGAAUUCCCAGUGUAGCGGUGAAAUGCGUAGAUAUUGGGAGGAACACCAGUGGCGAAGGCGGCUUUCUGGACUGCAACUGACGCUGAGGCUCGAAAGCCAGGGGAGCGAACGGGAUUAGAUACCCCCGUAGUCCCUGUCUCUUAUACA
RNAcentral lists this ribosomal RNA (301 nucleotides) under uncultured bacterium. Its description in RNAcentral is "partial 16S ribosomal RNA". It matches the Rfam family "Bacterial small subunit ribosomal RNA", at positions 509 to 809 of the family's 1533-position model. The record is from RNAcentral.